Molecule: long non-coding RNA, 739 nt
Filed under: Mus musculus (house mouse)
Lineage: Eukaryota; Metazoa; Chordata; Mammalia; Rodentia; Muridae
Description: RIKEN cDNA 4930500H12 gene, transcript variant 2 (4930500H12Rik)
Source: RNAcentral
AUUGGUGAAGGUGCAGCCUCAGUAGCUGUUGAAGGCCAGAUAGACUGAAGGAGUCAUGAAGAGAAACCGAGGCUCGGCAUCAUGAAUAAAUCCUAGGACAUUGGUAAAAGCACAGCCCAGUUGCAGUCAAAGAUCCCAGCAUUGUGGAGAUGCCAGUACCUUGGCAUGAUCACCAAGAGCAGCAGUGGCCAUAGAAUGGCGCCUACCCGAGCUUAGAGGACAAGCUGUGUGUGCUACAGAGGAGCUGGAGAAGUGGCCCAAGCCCCUUGUAGGAGGCCAGAAGAUGGUUAGUGAAUCCCAGGUGGCGCCACCUCUGUUUGUAAACUCCAAUCCAGAGCUGUAGUUGUUUCUCCUUUUGGCCCUACACUGUAGAACCAAAGCCGUGCCCAACAGAAGUAGCCUCACCCUGAGUGUCUGAAGCCAGUAUACACGUGAUGAAAAACUUGAUCAUCGAGAUCCAUGAUAAUGACAUCUCAAGAACCAAAAGCUAGCUGAGAGAUUCUGAGACAAAGGAGGAGGAACAGUCUCUCUUCUUGCUAUAUCAUAGAACCUCAGUGAGGAACGUGAUCCAGCUCAGGAUAGCUCAUCUUGGCACUCCUCACUGCAACGGGGGCCUCGUCCUGGUCUAUCAGUCUAUCACUUUUUCAUGACAAAUGGGUCCCUUCACAAACUCACUAUGACCUAAACCCAUAGUAUAUCCCACAGAGUAAUUAUCAAUAAAUUUCCACAUUUAAAAAAA